Molecule: transfer RNA, 36 nt
Filed under: Gymnogramma flavivitella
Lineage: Eukaryota; Metazoa; Arthropoda; Insecta; Lepidoptera; Lacturidae
Description: partial transfer RNA-Ser
Source: RNAcentral
AAAACUUAAGAAAGAAUUAACUUAUUCUAUUAAUUU